CUGCUCGACGACGGUCGGCGAGAUGAAGUGGAUGUGCGCGUCGAUGGCCCCGGCGGUGACGAUCUUGCCGUUGCCCGCGAUGACCUCCGUCUCCGGGCCGAUGACGAGGUCGGGGUGGACGCCGUUCAUGGUGUCGGGGUUCCCGGCCUUGCCGAUGCCGGUGAUCCGGCCGUCGCGGAUGCCGAUGUCGGCCUUGACGAUGCCCCAGUGGUCGACGAUGACGGCGCCGGUGAUGACGGUGUCGGGGGCACCCUCGGCACGCGUCGUACGG
Molecule: small RNA, 271 nt
Filed under: Streptomyces sp. CB03234
Lineage: Bacteria; Bacillati; Actinomycetota; Actinomycetes; Kitasatosporales; Streptomycetaceae
Description: 5' ureB small RNA
Rfam family: 5' ureB small RNA
Source: Rfam by way of RNAcentral